AUCAGCCUUUCGGGUGCGAUUCUGUGGGGUUUGAGGAGCUUAACACCUUCAUGCUUUGCAUAUUCGUGCUCUUGGGUGUACUUGCCCGUGUGGUUGGUUAACAUCAAUUUUGGUGGUCAUAAAAUGACUGGAGGAAUGUAGCUUCGAUCUUGUAUUGAAGUGUUAUAGCCUUCGGUAGAUGUGAUGAUCGAGAUUGAGGAUUGCAACGGAUACCCUUCGGGGCUACCUGUCUGAUCUCUGAUCGCUGCUCUGGUGCCGAAAGCUUGCUUACGGUUAUCAAAGUCGAUGGUCAAUAGGUUAGAACGGGUUAAAUUCGUUAAGGAUGUUGACGUAAUGGCUUU
This 341-nucleotide ribosomal RNA is filed under the name uncultured Glomeromycotina. RNAcentral's name for it is "eukaryotic LSU rRNA". The record is from RNAcentral. Lineage: Eukaryota; Fungi; Glomeromycota.